UUGUGACCGUCUAAAAUCAUCAAGUAGAAAGCGAAUAGAGAUACAGCGGGCUGAGCAUCGAUUCUUGUAAUCCGGUGAUUGCAGUACCCUCAUGCUCGGAGUCUCAUACGGACAGCUCCUCCUCUUGAUCGGAGCUGUUGUCGCCUUCACAGGCCCAAAGGACUUCCCACGCGUAUCCAGAUUAGCGGGGAGGAUGGCUGGUCGUGCAAUUGGUUAUGUUCAGUUAGCUCGUGGUCAGUUCGAUGUUAUCAUGCACCAAUCUCAAGCUCAGCAGGUGCAUAAAGAACUAAAAGAUACAAUGGCUCAAUUGGAAGCUAUACGUCAUGAAAUUAGAACCGUCUCUUUUAUGAAUCCUGGUCAAUUGACGACAAGACUGGUGGAUAAUCUUGAUCAGACAACUGCAGCAAAUGAAAGCACAGAAUCAGAAAAAGUAAUAAAAGAGAACAUAUCAAGGACAACUACUCCUAAGCCUGAUGAUUUGCAGGAUUCUAGUUUAAAAGCCUCAAGCUCGUUUAAUAUCCAAAGCAAAGCAGCUGUGUCAAGCUCGAUUGAUAAAUACAGCAAAGCAACUGCUUAUGCAAGUUUGGCUGAAUCCUCUGCUUUAAAUUCUGGGCCUGGGACUAGUGAUAUAAGUGAUAAAUCUGGUCUUCUUGCUGUCCUUCCUGUAUCAGCAGAAAGUGCUGGAUUGCUCCCAAAUCGCAAGGGAAGUGUCAGUGGAUCUGACCUAGUUUUGGAAGCUAUUGUAGAGGCAGAGGUGGCAAACAAUGCAAAACAAUUUUUUGCUCAACCUCAAAAUCAAUUGAAACCAGAGUAAUAGAUUGUGUGUUUUACAUCUCCGCUCAUUUGUUCAAGACUAAUUCCAUGAAUUAGCUACUGACUACAGACUACAGUAAUUGAAGAUCAUGUAUCAAGUAAUCAUGCUGAUAUGUAAUGGCAGGAAAUCGCAAAAUAUGUAAUGGCAGAAAAAGCGCGAAAUAAUUUUUCCUCAGCGGAGAAAUCUUUGUAGGAUCCUGUCAAUAUCUUUCUGUUUUGACAUAGAUGUUCUCAAAUUUUUGCAAAGCAGGAAGUAGUAUUCAUAAGAGUAAUUAGUUGCAGCACAAUCCAACUCAAACUUUUGUUCAUCAUUUUCUAUAAAUAAACACUUGUGUGAUAAUCA
RNA transcript from Daucus carota subsp. sativus, 1156 nucleotides. RefSeq lists it as uncharacterized. Lineage: Eukaryota; Viridiplantae; Streptophyta; Magnoliopsida; Apiales; Apiaceae. The transcript is spliced from 8 exons. The record is from RefSeq and is a predicted model, not a curated record.